RNAcentral lists this long non-coding RNA (1049 nucleotides) under Chinchilla lanigera (long-tailed chinchilla). RNAcentral's name for it is "lncRNA (ENSCLAG00000022429.1)". The record is from RNAcentral. Lineage: Eukaryota; Metazoa; Chordata; Mammalia; Rodentia; Chinchillidae.
AAAUCACACCACCACAUUCCUGAGGCCAGAAGGUGACUUGAAAUUGCAAACCCAAAUUCAACUUCAAAUAUACCAGGUUUCUCCACAUAGCCAAGAACCAACUCUAUUUUCUGAGACACCACAGGAUACUCUUACAUCCUACCUUCUCAUACCCCUUCCCAGACAACUGGCAGACAUAAGACCUCUUUGAAAUACAGGAAUACCUCAGUUCAUGAAUGCUUCUGCUUGCAAAUAAUUUGGUUCCCGAACAGAAGGGUUUAGCAAAAUUUUGCUUGUUUACAAGCUCCAUGUCAGAUGACAAACACAACUGCAGCCUUCUUCCCCAGAAUCACAGAAUGAAUUAAGUUUGUGAACCGAGGCACCACUGUAUAGAUCUGACUGCUCCCCUCUACUGCAGUUGCUCUUAAAGCAGGAGCUGGUGGAUUCGGAGAGGGCCUGUCCAUGUCUCCCAACUUGAAGGUGUAGCCCCCGCCCUUCUCCAAGAACCCAGGGGAUGGGCUCUGCAGAGAUGGAACUCUCUUUUGAAUGCUCCCAUGAUCUCACAUUCUGCCUAGCUAUUUCAGUGCACAAUAAGCCUGGCUACAAAGGUCCCAAACAGAGGGAGACAGAAUGGUUCUCUACAUUCUGUUCCAGAGAGGAAGAAAAGGAAUCAGUUCCUGCAUCUAUUUCUAGGAAAACAAAACGAACACAAGAGGCGAGAAAUUCAUGGAACAGUGCUGCUAAAUAAAGGAGCACAUAAUUACAGGAGGAAUUGGCAGGUAAGACAUCCCAGGUACAACUCGACUCUGCUACCUUCCCCACUUAACCAGGACAAAUGGAAAACUUAUUUCCUGAGAGUCCUCACAGGGGUCAGCAAACUUUCUGUAAAAUGCCAGGUAAUAAAUAUUUUAAACUUUUUAGUCAAAUGCAGGGGUUUUUUGUUUGUUAUUUGUAUUUUAAGUGUUCUAUUAUGGAAAAUUUCAAACAUAUGCCAAAGUAAACAAAAUAGAAUGAUGCAUUUCUACUUAGCUUCAAUAAUUAUCAGCCCAUGGCCAAUCUUCUAUGUAUAA